Molecule: ribosomal RNA, 657 nt
Filed under: Pseudopinnixa carinata
Lineage: Eukaryota; Metazoa; Arthropoda; Malacostraca; Decapoda; Varunidae
Description: partial 16S ribosomal RNA
Rfam family: Bacterial large subunit ribosomal RNA
Source: RNAcentral
GUCUGUUUGAAGAUAUAAAAAGUCUAGCCUGCUCACUGAUGUAAUUUAAGAGCCGCGGUAAUCUGACCGUGCAAAGGUAGCGUAAUUGGUAGUUUUUUAAUUGGGAUCUUGUAUGAAUGGUUGGACAAAAGAGAAUCUGUCUCUAUAAUUUUUAUUGAAUUUAACUUUUAAGUGAAAAGGCUUAAAUACGUUAAAAAGACGAUAAGACCCUAUAAAGCUUUAUAAAUAAGUACUGUUUAGUUAAAUUGAGUUAUAAAAUCUUAGUAGUUCUUUUUAUUUUAUUGGGGUGAUAAAAGUAUAAUUAUUGUUAACUGCUUAAAAGUUAAACCAUACAUAGAUGAAUAAGUUAUAAUGAUCCUAGUUCAAGAUUAAAAGUUUAAGUUACUUUAGGGAUAACAGCGUUAUUUUCUUUGAGAGUUCUUAUCGAAAAGAAAGUUUGCGACCUCGAUGUUGAAUUAAAAAAUCUAAAUAAUUGUAGCAGUUAUUUAAGAAGGUCUGUUCGACCUUUAAAAUUUUACAUGAUUUGAGUUCAGACCGGCGUGAGCCAGGUCGGUUUCUAUCUUUUAAUAUCUAGUAAAUUAUUUUAGUACGAAAGGAUUGAGUAAUUGAAAUAUUUUUGUUAUUGAUUUACUGUUUUGGCAGAUGUUAUGCGUUGGA